UUGAGUCUCGUAGAGGGGGGUAGAAUUCCAGGUGUAGCGGUGAAAUGCGUAGAGAUCUGGAGGAAUACCGGUGGCGAAGGCGGCCCCCUGGACGAAGACUGACGCUCAGGUGCGAAAGCGUGGGGAGCAAACAGGAUUAGAUACCCUGGUAGUCCACGCCGUAAACGAUGUCGACUUGGAGGUUGUGCCCUUGAGGCGUGGCUUCCGGAGCUAACGCGUUAAGUCGACCGCCUGGGGAGUACGGCCGCAAGGUUAAAACUCAAAUGAAUUGACGGGGGCCCGCACAAGCGGUGGAGCAUGUGGUUUAAUUCGAUGCAACGCGAAGAACCUUACCUGGUCUUGACAUCCACAGAACUUUCCAGAGAUGGAUUGGUGCCUUCGGGAAC
RNAcentral lists this ribosomal RNA (386 nucleotides) under Escherichia coli. RNAcentral's name for it is "bacterial SSU rRNA". It matches the Rfam family "Bacterial small subunit ribosomal RNA", at positions 642 to 1027 of the family's 1533-position model. The record is from RNAcentral. Lineage: Bacteria; Pseudomonadati; Pseudomonadota; Gammaproteobacteria; Enterobacterales; Enterobacteriaceae.